RNAcentral lists this ribosomal RNA (460 nucleotides) under uncultured bacterium. Its description in RNAcentral is "partial 16S ribosomal RNA". It matches the Rfam family "Bacterial small subunit ribosomal RNA", at positions 338 to 795 of the family's 1533-position model. The record is from RNAcentral.
CCUACGGGUGGCAGCAGUGAGGAAUAUUGGUCAAUGGCCGGAAGCCUGAACCAGCCAAGUCGCGUGAGGGAAUAAGGCCCUAUGGGUCGUAAACCUCUUUUGUCAGGGAGCAAAGGCGUCCACGAGUGGACGAAAGGAGAGUACCUGAAGACAAAGCAUCGGCUAACUCCGUGCCAGCAGCCGCGGUAAUACGGAGGAUGCGAGCGUUAUCCGGAUUUAUUGGGUUUAAAGGGUGCGUAGGCGGAGUGUCAAGUCAGCGGUAAAAUUUCGGGGCUCAACCCCGUCGUGCCGUUGAAACUGACACUCUUGAGUGAGUGAGAAGUAAGCGGAAUGCGUGGUAGAGCGGUGAAAUGCAUAGAUAUCACGCAGAACGCCGAUUGCGAAGGCAGCUUACCGGCGCUCAACUGACGCUGAGGCACGAAAGUGCGGGUAUCGAACAGGAUUAGAUACCCCGGUAGUC